UCACAUAAUGAUUUUGAUUGUUUUUGAAAAACUCAGUUUUUCAAAGACAAUCAAAAUCAUUAUGUGA
This is a non-coding RNA of Paramuricea clavata, 67 nucleotides long. The record is from the annotation of a GenBank genome assembly. NCBI's taxonomy places the organism in Eukaryota, Metazoa, Cnidaria, Anthozoa, Malacalcyonacea, Plexauridae.